This 465-nucleotide ribosomal RNA is filed under the name uncultured bacterium. Its description in RNAcentral is "partial 16S ribosomal RNA". It matches the Rfam family "Bacterial small subunit ribosomal RNA", at positions 28 to 507 of the family's 1533-position model. The record is from RNAcentral.
GACGAACGCUGGCGGCGUGCUUAACACAUGCAAGUCGAACGGAAAGGCCCUGCUUGCAGGGUACUCGAGUGGCGAACGGGUGAGUAACACGUGGGUGAUCUGCCCUGCACUUCGGGAUAAGCCUGGGAAACUGGGUCUAAUACCGGAUAGGAGCCAUUUUUAGUGUGAUGGUUGGAAAGUUUUUUCGGUGUAGGAUGAGCUCGCGGCCUAUCAGCUUGUUGGUGGGGUAAUGGCCUACCAAGGCGGCGACGGGUAGCCGGCCUGAGAGGGUGGACGGCCACAUUGGGACUGAGAUACGGCCCAGACUCCUACGGGAGGCAGCAGUGGGGAAUAUUGCACAAUGGGCGCAAGCCUGAUGCAGCGACGCCGCGGGGGGGAUGACGGCCUUCGGGUUGUAAACUCCUUUCGCUAGGGACGAAGCUUUUUGUGACGGUACCUAGAGAAGAAGCACCGGCUAACUACGUG